This is a long non-coding RNA of Penaeus monodon (black tiger shrimp), 441 nucleotides long. RefSeq lists it as uncharacterized. The record is from RefSeq and is a predicted model, not a curated record. The transcript is spliced from 3 exons. NCBI's taxonomy places the organism in Eukaryota, Metazoa, Arthropoda, Malacostraca, Decapoda, Penaeidae.
AACGAGUCAGUGUUACGGUGUUUGUCAUUUAGUGAAGACAGAUCUGUGACAGAGUCGCACGUGACGGAGGAGUGACAUUUUAUCCUCUGACAGUCGAGUACACUAAGUAUGUAAAUCCGCUGAACACGCUAUAGACGACAAUAGAACCGAACUAUACAACGAUGGGGCUUUCUGCAGUCAUCCUCGUAGUCUGCGCGUCAUGGCUGGCGGAAGGACAUCUCGCUGACAACAUGGUGCAUGACACAGGGCUGCCAACGUGUCAUGCAGUGCUCCACCAGGCGACACACCCGCCCAUAUCCGCCCCUAUGCCUCCUGACAUCCGAGGGAAGUGGGUGUCAACAAGGUAGGUUCGGUGGGCGUGGCUUAGUGUCUGUCUGUUCCGUUGAUGGGGUUAAUGUCUGUCUGUUAUGUCAGCGGAGGUUAGUGUCUGUGCAUUUCGAU